RNAcentral lists this non-coding RNA (151 nucleotides) under uncultured Prevotella sp. The record is from RNAcentral. Lineage: Bacteria; Pseudomonadati; Bacteroidota; Bacteroidia; Bacteroidales; Prevotellaceae.
ACCAUCCGUCGUCGCAUAACAGGGAAUCAGGUGAGAACCCUGAGCAGUACCCGCUACUGUCAUCUCCGUUUUGGGAAGCCCACAGCAACCACUGGCCGCACAGGCUGGGAAGGAGGGCUUCUUGGAGAGAGCCAGGAAACCUGCCAAUAUC